AUUAAUCUACGGAUAGUGAUUGGAUGAUGUAACUACCUAGAGUUAUGCAUCCAUACAUCAGUAAUAAGUUGAUACAUCCUAAUGUGAUGUCUAUGGUGUAAUGAAUUUGUGUAGAUUCCAUAGUAGUAUAGAUUGAGAAAGAUUUACCGAUUAAGAUGAAUCAGAGUAUGUCAUCGUGGAAAGAAAUUUCAAGUAUAUGUUAUGAACGAAAGUAUGGA
RNAcentral lists this long non-coding RNA (218 nucleotides) under Capsicum annuum. RNAcentral describes it as "long non-coding RNA (CANN_LNC013809)". Lineage: Eukaryota; Viridiplantae; Streptophyta; Magnoliopsida; Solanales; Solanaceae. The record is from RNAcentral.